This 1067-nucleotide long non-coding RNA is filed under the name Olea europaea subsp. europaea. Lineage: Eukaryota; Viridiplantae; Streptophyta; Magnoliopsida; Lamiales; Oleaceae. The record is from RNAcentral.
GAAUGAGAAAUCAAGAAUUCCAUAAAUUUUUUUCAGAAUUUCUUCAUUACAAAGCACGUUUAACAUGGUAUCAGAGCAAAUCUCAAUUUUUUCUCUUCGUACUCAUAUUCUGUUUUCCGCAUUCUGAACUUGUACAGUUAGCUCCAUGGCAAUGAAUCCAGACUCAAUCACCGUCUUCACCACAGCUCCCCAGCCAAUAAUUCCUGCAUCACAAAUCGUUGUUCAGCAAGAUAAUUCUGCCUUCGCAACUGGGGUUAUAUUGGAUGAGAAUAACUACCCAUUAUUGUCUCAACUCAUGGAGAUGUAGAUUGGUGCUCGUAACAAGGAUGGGUAUCUCACCGGAAAGAUAGUGAAACCUUCACCUGGAGAUCCACAGCUGGAGAUUUGGAUUACUGAAAACCAUAGAGUCAAGAGCUACUUUAUUAAUGCAAUGAGUCCAUCAUUGAUGCAGUGAUUUAUUCGCCUUUCCAUAGCAAAGGAAAUAUGGAGGCAGUGGCUCGAACAUUCUAUGACAGAUCAGAUGAAACCUGCCUUUUUGAAUUGCACCAGAGAUCUUUUUCUACCAAGCAAAUUGGCCCCCCACUCUCAACAUAUUAUAAUGAACUUGUUGCUAUUUUUCAGGAUAUUGAUCAUGGAACUACUUCUCAAGAGGGAACCGUUGAAGGAAUUGUUCUAUUGCACUUAGCUAUGGCUAGACUUCGAGUUUAUAUCUUUCUCAGUAGACUCGACUCUGAAUAGACACAGGUGCGUGGAGAAAUCUUGCAGAAGGAUUCAAAACUUGAUCUUGAGAGUGCUUAUGCCUAUGUUCGGAGGGAAUUUCAGAAUCGCAAAGGAUUUCCAGGGGGUCCGUCAAAGAAUAACUUCAGACAACCUUCUAAAGGGCCGGUAUGUACACAUUGUGGUGAAACUGGCCAUUCAAAUCAAAAGUGCUAUGAGAACAUAGGCUAUCCUGAAUGGUGAGAUUUUACAAACAAACCUUAGAAAAAUACUGCUAGGAAAGCUAUGAUAUCAUCCACGGCAGAGGAAUCGAUAUAGCCCAUGGCAAAUACGAUUGUUUUCCGCCUAAG